UAUGUUUUUGUCAACCCCACUUCUUACAACAUGUAUCCAAGACCGGGGAAGGCUUCUCGCCAGCCUAGUUGAAGCUACCAGCAGAAUCACACCAACAAUGAUGCACAUCCAUCCAAGCAAGAGCCAGAGACGAGAUGUUGGUGCUGAAGGCAAGCGUUCACCCAAAGCAAACAUACCAGCAAAGACACCUGUUACGAUAGAUGCAACAGCCGCACAUGUGGAUACUACAAUUGCCCUUCCAUGCUUCAAGCCACGUGUCUGACAUACAAAACCAGAAGCACUACAACAAAUGCUUAUUGAAAUACAAAUCGGCACCAACAACUUGGAAAAUCCCUGCUCCAAGAAUAAAAAUCCCAUCUUUGAUAUCACAGAUGAAAUCCCAAACAAAAUUCCAGAUUCCAGUCCAUAAAUAAUUUCCUCGAUGACUUCAUAUUGCAUCAGCUCUUGUUCUCUACGCUGCCGUCUAUAAAUGCGAAGCCAUCCAUUAAGAAGUACAAACAAGAUUGCAACAGCACAUGCCAGCCAUGGUAGGUGAAAAAUUGAGAUAGCAGAAGCCUGCUGCUCCUCCCCUCCAGCACCAACAGCUAUGGUGCCAAUGCCCGCCAAGGUAAUUCCUAUCCAAUCAAUAGCAUUCAUGAUCUCCUUUAGAUAAAAAUGGGAAAAGACUGAAAGUAUAGCAAGUCCACAGCCAGAAACUGGUUGAAUGACCGAUACCGGGGCUAGAG
Molecule: unclassified non-coding RNA, 725 nt
Filed under: Hevea brasiliensis (rubber tree)
Lineage: Eukaryota; Viridiplantae; Streptophyta; Magnoliopsida; Malpighiales; Euphorbiaceae
Source: RNAcentral